RNAcentral lists this ribosomal RNA (865 nucleotides) under Salmonella enterica. RNAcentral's name for it is "partial 23S ribosomal RNA". It matches the Rfam family "Bacterial large subunit ribosomal RNA", at positions 1 to 899 of the family's 2925-position model. The record is from RNAcentral. Lineage: Bacteria; Pseudomonadati; Pseudomonadota; Gammaproteobacteria; Enterobacterales; Enterobacteriaceae.
GGGUUGUGAGGUUAAGCGACUAAGCGUACACGGUGGAUGCCCUGGCAGUCAGAGGCGAUGAAGGGCGUGCUAAUCUGCGAUAAGCGCCGGUAAGGUGAUAUGAACCGUUAUAACCGGCGAUACCCGAAUGGGGAAACCCAGUGUGAUUCGUCACACUAUCAUUAACUGAAUCCAUAGGUUAAUGAGGCGAACCGGGGGAACUGAAACAUCUAAGUACCCCGAGGAAAAGAAAUCAACCGAGAUUCCCCCAGUAGCGGCGAGCGAACGGGGAGGAGCCCAGAGCCUGAAUCAGCAUGUGUGUUAGUGGAAGCGUCUGGAAAGGCGCGCGAUACAGGGUGACAGCCCCGUACACAAAAGCGUAUGUGCUGUGAGCUCGAUGAGUAGGGCGGGACACGUGGUAUCCUGUCUGAAUAUGGGGGGACCAUCCUCCAAGGCUAAAUACUCCUGACUGACCGAUAGUGAACCAGUACCGUGAGGGAAAGGCGAAAAGAACCCCGGCGAGGGGAGUGAAAAAGAACCUGAAACCGUGUACGUACAAGCAGUGGGAGCACCCUUUGGGGUGUGACUGCGUACCUUUUGUAUAAUGGGUCAGCGACUUAUAUUCUGUAGCAAGGUUAACCGAAUAGGGGAGCCGGAGGGAAACCGAGUCUUAAUUGGGCGUUAAGUUGCAGGGUAUAGACCCGAAACCCGGUGAUCUAGCCAUGGGCAGGUUGAAGGUUGGGUAACACUAACUGGAGGACCGAACCGACUAAUGUUGAAAAAUUAGCGGAUGACCUGUGGCUGGGGGUGAAAGGCCAAUCAAACCGGGAGAUAGCUGGUUCUCCCCGAAAGCUAUUUAGGUAGCGCCUCGUGAAUUCAUCUCCGG